UGGAUCCAGACUUUGAUCAUGGCUCAGGAUGAACGCUAGCUACAGGCUUAACGCAUGCAAGUCGAGGGGAAACGACAUCGAAAGCUUGCUUUUGAUGGGCGUCGACCGGCGCACGGGUGAGUAACGCGUAUCCAACCUGCCCAUCACUUGGGAAUAACCUUGCGAAAGUAAGACUAAUACCCAAUGAUAUCCCACGAAGGCAUCCGAAUGGGAUUAAAGAUUUAUCGGUGAUGGAUGGGGAUGCGUCUGAUUAGCUCGUUGGCGGGGUAACGGCCCACCAAGGCAACGAUCAGUAGGGGUUCUGAGAGGAAGGUCCCCCACAUUGGAACUGAGACACGGUCCAAACUCCUACGGGAGGCAGCAGUGAGGAAUAUUGGUCAAUGGGCGAGAGCCUGAACCAGCCAAGUAGCGUGCAGGAUGACGGCCCUAUGGGUUGUAAACUGCUUUUAUAAGGGAAUAAAGUGAGUCUCGUGAGACUUUUUGCAUGUACCUUAUGAAUAAGGACCGGCUAAUUCCGUGCCAGCAGCCGCGGUAAUACGGAAGGUCCGGGCGUUAUCCGGAUUUAUUGGGUUUAAAGGGAGCGUAGGCCGGAGAUUAAGCGUGUUGUGAAAUGUAGAGGCUCAACCUCUGCACUGCAGCGCGAACUGGUCUUCUUGAGUACGCACAACGUGGGCGGAAUUCGUGGUGUAGCGGUGAAAUGCUUAGAUAUCACGAAGAACUCCGAUUGCGAAGGCAGCUCACGGGAGCGCAACUGACGCUGAAGCUCGAAAGUGCGGGUAUCGAACAGGAUUAGAUACCCUGGUAGUCCGCACGGUAAACGAUGGAUGCCCGCUGUUGGCCUGAAUAGGUCAGCGGCCAAGCGAAAGCAUUAAGCAUCCCACCUGGGGAGUACGCCGGCAACGGUGCAACUCAAAUGAAUUGACGGA
RNAcentral lists this ribosomal RNA (926 nucleotides) under uncultured organism. Its description in RNAcentral is "bacterial SSU rRNA". It matches the Rfam family "Bacterial small subunit ribosomal RNA", at positions 1 to 917 of the family's 1533-position model. The record is from RNAcentral.